GACGUAGGAGGCGAGCGUUGUCCGGAUUCAUUGGGCGUAAAGAGCGCGCAGGCGGCUUGGUAAGUCGGAUGUGAAAUCCCGAGGCUCAACCUCGAGUCUGCAUCCGAUACUGCCCGGCUAGAGGUAGGUAGGGGAGAUCGGAAUUCCUGGUGUAGCGGUGAAAUGCGCAGAUAUCAGGAGGAACACCGGUGGCGAAGGCGGAUCUCUGGGCCUUACCUGACGCUCAGGCGCGAAAGCUAGGGGAGCGAACUGG
This 253-nucleotide ribosomal RNA is filed under the name uncultured bacterium. RNAcentral's name for it is "partial 16S ribosomal RNA". It matches the Rfam family "Bacterial small subunit ribosomal RNA", at positions 524 to 776 of the family's 1533-position model. The record is from RNAcentral.